GAUGAACGCUGGCGGCGUGCUUAAUACAUGCAAGUCGAACGGAAAGGCCCUGCUUUUGUUGGGCUGUCGAGUGGGGCGCGCGUGUGUAACACGGGUGUAUCCUCUCCCUGACUUUCGGAUAACUUCUCGAAACUGGGGCUCAUAUCCGCUAGGAGCUCCUGCUGCGUGGUGUUGGUUGGUAAGUUACGGUGGUUGGGGCUGGACGGGAGGCGUCUCAGCUUGUUGGUCGGGUAGUUGCUUACCCAGGCUUGGACGGGUAGCCGGCCUGAGAGGGUGACUGGCCACAUUGGGACUGCGGUACGGCCCAGACGCCUACGGGAGGCAGCAGUGGGGAAUAUUGCGCAAUGGGCGGAAGCCUGAUGCAGCAACGCCGCGUGCGGGAUGACGGCCUUCGGGUGAUAAACCGUUUUCGCCUGUGACGAAGCGUGAGUGACGGUAAUGAGUAAAGAAGCACCGGCUAACUACGUG
This 468-nucleotide ribosomal RNA is filed under the name uncultured bacterium. Its description in RNAcentral is "partial 16S ribosomal RNA". It matches the Rfam family "Bacterial small subunit ribosomal RNA", at positions 28 to 507 of the family's 1533-position model. The record is from RNAcentral.